GAUGAACGCUGGCGGCGUGCCUAAUACAUGCAAGUCGAGCGAACGGACGAGAAGCUUGCUUUUCUGAUGUUAGCGGCGGACGGGUGAGUAACACGUGGAUAACCUACCUAUAAGACUGGGAUAACUUCGGGAAACCGGAGCUAAUACCGGAUAAUAUUUUGAACCGCAUGGUUCAAAAGUGAAAGACGGUCUUGCUGUCACUUAUAGAUGGAUCCGCGCUGCAUUAGCUAGUUGGUAAGGUAACGGCUUACCAAGGCAACGAUGCAUAGCCGACCUGAGAGGGUGAUCGGCCACACUGGAACUGAGACACGGUCCAGACGCCUACGGGAGGCAGCAGUAGGGAAUCUUCCGCAAUGGGCGAAAGCCGGACGGAGCAACGCCGCGUGAGUGAUGAAGGCCUUCGGAUCGUAAAACUCUGUUAUUAGGGAAGAACAUAUGUGUAAGUAACUGUGCACAUCUUGACGGUACCUAAUCAGAAAGCCACGGCUAACUACGUG
RNAcentral lists this ribosomal RNA (497 nucleotides) under uncultured bacterium. RNAcentral describes it as "partial 16S ribosomal RNA". It matches the Rfam family "Bacterial small subunit ribosomal RNA", at positions 28 to 507 of the family's 1533-position model. The record is from RNAcentral.